Molecule: transfer RNA, 72 nt
Filed under: Paramuricea clavata
Lineage: Eukaryota; Metazoa; Cnidaria; Anthozoa; Malacalcyonacea; Plexauridae
Rfam family: tRNA
About the family: Transfer RNA (tRNA) molecules are approximately 80 nucleotides in length. Their secondary structure includes four short double-helical elements and three loops (D, anti-codon, and T loops).
Source: Rfam by way of RNAcentral
GACUCGAUAGCUCAAUGGGCAGAGCGGCGGUCUAGAUGCCCGAAGAUGCGAGUUCAAAUCCCGCUUGAGCCA